RNAcentral lists this ribosomal RNA (435 nucleotides) under uncultured bacterium. RNAcentral describes it as "partial 16S ribosomal RNA". It matches the Rfam family "Bacterial small subunit ribosomal RNA", at positions 29 to 507 of the family's 1533-position model. The record is from RNAcentral.
AGCGAACGCUGGCGGCAGGCUUAACACAUGCAAGUCGAGCGGGCACCGUCGGGUGUCAGCGGCAGACGGGUGAGUAACACGUGGGAACGUACCCUUCGGUUCGGAAUAACGCUGGGAAACUAGCGCUAAUACCGGAUACGCCCUUAUGGGGAAAGGUUUACUGCCGAAGGAUCGGCCCGCGUCUGAUUAGCUAGUUGGUGGGGUAACGGCCUACCAAGGCGACGAUCAGUAGCUGGUCUGAGAGGAUGAUCAGCCACACUGGGACUGAGACACGGCCCAGACUCCUACGGGAGGCAGCAGUGGGGAAUAUUGGACAAUGGGCGCAAGCCUGAUCCAGCCAUGCCGCGUGAGUGAUGAAGGCCUUAGGGUUGUAAAGCUCUUUUGUCCGGGACGAUAAUGACGUUACCGGAAGAAUAAGCCCCGGCUAACUUCGUG